GGUUGAUCCUGCCGGACCCGACUGCUAUUUGGGUGAGGAUAAGCCAUGCGAGUUGGAUGGGAUACCUAAACUUCCCAUAGCAAACUGCUUAGUAACACAUGAUCAACUUGCCCUAUGGAGAAAAAUAACCUCGGGAAACUGAGGAUAAUGUUUCAUAGUUGAAUAGGCUUGGAAAAGUUUUUCAAUGAAAGGAAUAAGAUAAAUGGAUCUUAUUUGCCAUAGGAUAGGAUCGUGGUCGAUUAUGGUAGUUGGUGAGAUAACGGCUCACCAAGCCGAUAAUCGAUAGGGGCCGUGAGAGCGGGAGCCCCAAGAUGGGUACUGAGACAGCGACCCAGGCCUUACGAGGCGCAGCAGGCGCGAGACCUCCGCAAUACACGAAAGUGUGACGGGGUUACCCAAAGUGUUCUCUUAAGAACUGUGGCAGGUGAGUAAUGUCCCCUGCUAGAAAGGAGAGGGCAAGGCUGGUGCCAGCCGCCGCGGUAAAACCAGCUCUUCAAGUGGUCGGGAUAAUUAUUGGGCUUAAAGUGUCCGUAGCCGGUUUAGUAAGUUCCUGGUAAAAUCGGGUAGCUUAACUAUCUGCAUGCUAGGAAUACUGCUAUACUAGAGGGCGGGAGAGGUCUGAGGUACUACAGGGGUAGGGGUGAAAUCUUAUAAUCCUUGUAGGACCACCAGUGGCGAAGGCGUCAGACUGGAACGCGCCUGACGGUGAGGGACGAAAGCCAGGGGAGCGAACCGGAUUAGAUACCCGGGUAGUCCUGGCCGUAAACGAUGCAUACUAGGUGAUGGUACGGCCAUGAGCCGUAUCAGUGCCGUAGGGAAACCGUUAAGUGUGCCGCCUGGGAAGUACGGUCGCAAGGCUAAAACUUAAAGGAAUUGGCGGGGGAGCACCACAAGGGGUGAAGCCCGCGGUUCAAUUGGACCCAACGCCGGGAAACUUACCAGGGGAGACAGUAGAAUGAGGGUCAGGUUGACGACCUUACCUGAUGAGCUGAGAGGAGGUGCAUGGCCGUCGCCAGUUCGUGCCGUGAGGUAUCCUGUUAAGUCAGGCAACGAACGAGAUCCGCGCCUUUAUUUGCCAACAAGAAGUUACGACUUCGUUGGGAACACUAAAGGGACCGCCGUCGAUAAGACGGAGGAAGGAGCGGGCAAAGGCAGGUCAGUAUGCCCCGAAACCCCUGGGCUACACGCGGGCUGCAAUGGUAUGAACAAUGGGCUGUAACUCCGAAAGGAGAAACCAAUCCCGAAAUCAUAUCACAGUGGGGAUUGUUGGCUGUGACCCGCCGACAUGAACGUGGAAUCCCUAGUAAUCGUGUGUCAUCAUCGCACGGUGAAUACGUCUCUGCUCCUUGCGCACACCGCCCGUCGCUCCAUCCGAGUGUACUAAAAAUGAGGUUUGGUCAGACUGGUCAUAUCGAGUUUCUAGUAUGCGAGGAGGGAGAAGUCGUAACAAGGUAGCCGUAGGGGAACCUGCGGCUGGAUCACCUCC
RNAcentral lists this ribosomal RNA (1486 nucleotides) under Promethearchaeota archaeon. RNAcentral describes it as "bacterial SSU rRNA". It matches the Rfam family "Archaeal small subunit ribosomal RNA". Lineage: Archaea; Promethearchaeati; Promethearchaeota. The record is from RNAcentral.